Molecule: ribosomal RNA, 405 nt
Filed under: uncultured bacterium
Lineage: Bacteria
Description: partial 16S ribosomal RNA
Rfam family: Bacterial small subunit ribosomal RNA
Source: RNAcentral
AUUGAACGCUGGCGGCAGGCUUAACACAUGCAAGUCGAACGAGUGGCGGACGGGUGAGUAAUGCUUGGGCAUCUAGCUGAUGGAGGGGGAUAACUACCGGACACUGUAGCUCAUACCGCGUACCAUAGGCUGAGCCCAAGUGGGAUUAGGUAGUUGGUGAGGUAAAGGCUCACCAAGCCGACGAUCUCUAGCUGGUCUGAGAGGAUGACCAGCCACACUGGGACUGAGACACGGCCCAGACUCCUACGGGAGGCAGCAGUGGGGAAUAUUGCGCAAUGGGGGCAACCUGACGCAGCCAUGCCGCGUGAAUGAAGAAGGCCUUCGGGUUGUAAAGUUCUUUCCGUAGCGAGGCGUUAACUACAGAAGAAGCACCGGCUAACUCCGUGCCAGCAGCCGCGGUAAUUC